Molecule: ribosomal RNA, 357 nt
Filed under: uncultured bacterium
Lineage: Bacteria
Description: bacterial SSU rRNA
Rfam family: Bacterial small subunit ribosomal RNA
Source: RNAcentral
AGCGAACGCUGGCGGCAGGCCUAAAACAUGCAAGUCGAACGGAUCCUUCGGGAUUAGUGGCGGACGGGUGAGUAACACGUGGGAACGUGCCUUUUGGUUCGGAACAACUCAGGGAAACUUGAGCUAAUACCGAAUGUGCCCUUCGGGAAAGAUUAUCGCCAUUAGAGCGGCCCGCGUCUGAUUAGCUAGUUGGUGAGGUAACGGCCCACCAAGGCGACGAUCAGUAGCUGGUCUGAGAGGANGAUCAGCCACACUGGGACUGAGACACGGCCCAGACUCCUACGGGAGGCAGCAGUUAGGAAUCUUGCGCAAUGGACGAAAGUCUGACGCAGCAACGCCGCGUGAGGGAUGACGGCC